GAAAAAUUAGUUAAAACAUAACAUAAGCUUGUCAUGCUUAAAUUAUCAUACUUAUUGAUAUUUUUCA
This 67-nucleotide transfer RNA is filed under the name Trachypenaeus curvirostris. RNAcentral's name for it is "tRNA-Asp". The record is from RNAcentral. Lineage: Eukaryota; Metazoa; Arthropoda; Malacostraca; Decapoda; Penaeidae.